This 499-nucleotide ribosomal RNA is filed under the name uncultured bacterium. RNAcentral describes it as "bacterial SSU rRNA". It matches the Rfam family "Bacterial small subunit ribosomal RNA", at positions 8 to 518 of the family's 1533-position model. The record is from RNAcentral.
AGAGUUUGAUCCUGGCUUAGAACGAACGCUGGUGGCGUGUCUAUACAUGCAAGUCGAGCGAGGCAGCAAUGCCGAGCGGCGAACGGGUGAGUAACGCGUAAGCAAUCUGCCCCAUAUCAGGGAAAUACCCGUGCCAACGCGCGGUUAAUGUCCAGGAGAGUGGCCCUCUGCAUGGAGGGUUGACUAGAGAUUUAUCGGUAUGGGAUGAGCUUGCGUCCGAUUAGCUAGUUGGCGGGGCAACGGCCCACCAAGGCGACGAUCGGUAGCCGGCCUGAGAGGGUGAUCGGCCACAUUGGGACUGAGAUACGGCCCAGACUCCUACGGGAGGCAGCAGUAGGGAAUAUUGCACAAUGGGGGAAACCCUGAUGCAGCAACGCCACGUGUUGGGAAGAAGCAUUUCGGUGUGUAAACCACUGUCAUGAGGGAAUAAGGCCCGCCUUCGGACGGACUUGAAUGUACCUUGAGAGGAAGCACCGGCAAACUUCGUGCCAGCAGCCGC